GGAGCUGGCUCCGCCUACGCCUGUAGCAGGACCGCAGGAAGCUCCUGAGCAUUCCAGAUCAAGAGGGUUAUUGCUCUCCCUUAGCUACGCAACGCCACGAACAACAAGAAGCGUGAAAAAAUAAGCAAAGGCUCGAAGAAGAUCUGGGGGAAAAGAGAUUUUCAAACGAUGAGGACUUCACACAGCGGUUAUCGAAAGGGAGAAGUUUCACCGUCGAGGAACUAAACGACUGGCAGCACGUUCCGAUGGUUUGUUUAUAGAGACUUGCCGUGGCCGGUUCAAGCAGUGGGGCACCUGCAGCUCUCAGACGCCUUUAACUGAAUGUGCCACACGUGGAUUGUGCAAUGGUGAGGCAAGGUAGUUGUCCGACAGAGUCAGCAGCUGACGGUGUGCUGCGUCGCAGUCGAAUGCUACGGCCCUGUCUCGGCAGUUCUUUUACGCCGAGUUCGGUGCCCCCUUGCACUAAAAUGUUCUUGUGUUCGCCGAACUCUGGCAGCCAACGCCGUUGCUACACUCUGUUCAUCAUAAAUAGACCUCAGACUUUAGGUAGAAACUUAUUUUGAUUCUCACUGAAUGAAGGCAAUAAAAGUUGUACAUACACGAAUUACGCCAAUUUGUGAUCGAAAAUGCUAGUUUUAUAG
This is a long non-coding RNA of Schistocerca gregaria, 641 nucleotides long. RefSeq lists it as uncharacterized. The record is from RefSeq and is a predicted model, not a curated record. NCBI's taxonomy places the organism in Eukaryota, Metazoa, Arthropoda, Insecta, Orthoptera, Acrididae. The transcript is spliced from 3 exons.